GAUGAACGCUGGCGGCGUGCCUAAUACAUGCAAGUCGAGCGAACGGACGAGAAGCUUGCUUCUCUGAUGUAGCGGCGGACGGGUGAGUAACACGUUGAUAACCUACCUAUAAGACUGGGAUAACUUCGGGAAACCGGGGCUAAUACCGGAUGAUAUUUUUAACCGCAUGGUUCAAAAGUGAAAGACGGUCUUGCUGUCACUUAUAGAUGGAUCCGCGCUGCAUUAGCUAGUUGGUAAGGUAACGGCUUACCAAGGCAACGAUGCAUAGCCGACCUGAGAGGGUGAUCGGCCACACUGGAACUGAGACACGGUCCAGACUCCUACGGGAGGCAGCAGUAGGGAAUCUCCCGCAAUGGGCGAAAGCCUGACGGAGCAACGCCGCGUGAGUGAUGAAGGUCUUCGGAUCGUAAAACUCUGUUAUUAGGGAAGAACAUAUGUGUAAGUAACUGUGCACAUCUUGACGGUACCUAAUCAGAAAGCCACGGCUAACUACGUG
Molecule: ribosomal RNA, 496 nt
Filed under: uncultured bacterium
Lineage: Bacteria
Description: partial 16S ribosomal RNA
Rfam family: Bacterial small subunit ribosomal RNA
Source: RNAcentral